GGGGAAUAUUGCACAAUGGGGGAAACCCUGAUGCAGCGACGCCGCGUGGAGGAAGAAGGUCUUCGGAUUGUAAACUCCUGUUGUUGAGGAAGAUAAUGACGGUACUCAACAAGGAAGUGACGGCUAACUACGUGCCAGCAGCCGCGGUAAAACGUAGGUCACAAGCGUUGUCCGGAAUUACUGGGUGUAAAGGGAGCGCAGGCGGGAAGACAAGUUGGAAGUGAAAUCCAUGGGCUCAACUCAUGAACUGCUUUCAAAACUGUUUUUCUUGAGUAGUGCAGAGGUAGGCGGAAUUCCCGGUGUAGCGGUGGAAUGCGUAGAUAUCGGGAGGAACACCAGUGGCGAAGGCGGCCUACUGGGCACCAACUGACGCUGAGGCUCGAAAGUGUGGGUAGCAAACAGGAUUAGAUACCCUGGUAGUCCACACCGUAAACGAUGAUUACUAGGUGUUGGAGGAUUGACCCCUUCAGUGCCGCAGUUAACACAAUAAGUAAUCCACCUGGGGAGUACGACCGCAAGGUUGAAACUCAAAGGAAUUGACGGGGGCCCGCACAAGCAGUGGAGUAUGUGGUUUAAUUCGACGCAACGCGAAGAACCUUACCAAGUCUUGACAUCCUGCGACGAUGCUGGAAACAGUAUUUUCCUUCGGGACGCAGAGACAGGUGGUGCAUGGUUGUCGUCAGCUCGUGUCGUGAGAUGUUGGGUUAAGUCCCGCAACGAGCGCAACCCUUAUGGUCAGUUACUACGCAAGAGGACUCUGGCCAGACUGCCGUUGACAAAACGGAGGAAGGUGGGGAUGACGUCAAAUCAUCAUGCCCUUUAUGACUUGGGCUACACACGUACUACAAUGGCGUUAAACAAAGAGAAGCAAGACCGCGAGGUGGAGCAAAACUCAGAAACAACGUCCCAGUUCGGACUGCAGGCUGCAACUCGCCUGCACGAAGUCGGAAUUGCUAGUAAUCGUGGAUCAGCAUGCCACGGUGAAUACGUUCCCG
Molecule: ribosomal RNA, 995 nt
Filed under: uncultured bacterium
Lineage: Bacteria
Description: bacterial SSU rRNA
Rfam family: Bacterial small subunit ribosomal RNA
Source: RNAcentral